RNAcentral lists this ribosomal RNA (722 nucleotides) under Planomicrobium sp. Its description in RNAcentral is "bacterial SSU rRNA". It matches the Rfam family "Bacterial small subunit ribosomal RNA", at positions 77 to 784 of the family's 1533-position model. The record is from RNAcentral. Lineage: Bacteria; Bacillati; Bacillota; Bacilli; Caryophanales; Caryophanaceae.
AGCUUGCUCUUUUGGUUUAGCGGCGGACGGGUGAGUAACACGUGGGCAACCUGCCCUGCAGAUCGGGAUAACUCCGGGAAACCGGUGCUAAUACCGAAUAGUUUGGCGCCUCUCCUGAGGCGCUACGGAAAGACGGCAUCUCGCUGUCACUGCAGGAUGGGCCCGCGGCGCAUUAGCUAGUUGGUGGGGUAACGGCCCACCAAGGCGACGAUGCGUAGCCGACCUGAGAGGGUGAUCGGCCACACUGGGACUGAGACACGGCCCAGACUCCUACGGGAGGCAGCAGUAGGGAAUCUUCCGCAAUGGACGCAAGUCUGACGGAGCAACGCCGCGUGAGUGACGAAGGUUUUCGGAUCGUAAAACUCUGUUGUGAGGGAAGAAACCGUGCCAAUUAACUACUGGCACCUUGACGGUACCUCACCAGAAAGCCACGGCUAACUACGUGCCAGCAGCCGCGGUAAUACGUAGGUGGCAAGCGUUGUCCGGAAUUAUUGGGCGUAAAGCGCGCGCAGGCGGUCCUUUAAGUCUGAUGUGAAAGCCCACGGCUCAACCGUGGAGGGUCAUUGGAAACUGGAGGACUUGAGUGCAGAAGAGGAAAGUGGAAUUCCACGUGUAGCGGUGAAAUGCGUAGAGAUGUGGAGGAACACCAGUGGCGAAGGCGACUUUCUGGUCUGUAACUGACGCUGAGGCGCGAAAGCGUGGGGAGCAAACAGGAUUAGAUA